GGGCGUGUGGUCUAGGGGUAUGACAUCUGCUUAGCAUGCUGAAGGUCCCGGGUUCAAUUCCCGGCGUGUCCA
RNAcentral lists this transfer RNA (72 nucleotides) under Verticillium dahliae VdLs.17. RNAcentral's name for it is "tRNA-Ala (AGC) (tRNA-Ala-AGC-3 1 to 3)". It matches the Rfam family "tRNA". From Rfam's summary of the family: Transfer RNA (tRNA) molecules are approximately 80 nucleotides in length. Their secondary structure includes four short double-helical elements and three loops (D, anti-codon, and T loops). Further hydrogen bonds mediate the characteristic L-shaped molecular structure. tRNAs have two regions of fundamental functional importance: the anti-codon, which is responsible for specific mRNA codon recognition, and the 3' end, to which the tRNAs corresponding amino acid is attached (by aminoacyl-tRNA synthetases). tRNAs cope with the degeneracy of the genetic code in two manners: having more than one tRNA (with a specific anti-codon) for a particular amino acid; and 'wobble' base-pairing, i.e. permitting non-standard base-pairing at the 3rd anti-codon position. RNAcentral also lists the same sequence under 2 other names. Lineage: Eukaryota; Fungi; Ascomycota; Sordariomycetes; Glomerellales; Plectosphaerellaceae. The record is from RNAcentral.